RNAcentral lists this ribosomal RNA (230 nucleotides) under uncultured bacterium. Its description in RNAcentral is "partial 16S ribosomal RNA". It matches the Rfam family "Bacterial small subunit ribosomal RNA", at positions 561 to 791 of the family's 1533-position model. The record is from RNAcentral.
UAAAGCGUGCGCAGGCGGUUUUGUAAGACUGUCGUGAAAUCCCCGGGCUCAACCUGGGAAUGGCGAUGGUGACUGCAAGGCUAGAGUUUGGCAGAGGGGGUAGAAUUCCACGUGUAGCAGUGAAAUGCGUAGAUAUGUGGAGGAACACCGAUGGCGAAGGCAGCCCCCUGGGUCAAAACUGACGCUCAUGCACGAAAGCGUGGGGAGCAAACAGGAUUAGAUACCCGAGU